UACGUAGGGGGCUAGCGUUGUCCGGAAUCAUUGGGCGUAAAGAGCGUGUAGGCGGUCCGGUAAGUCCGCUGUGAAAGUCGGGGGCUCAACCCUCGAAUGCCGGCCGAUACUGUCAGGCUAAAAUCCGGAAGAGGCGAGUGGAAUUCCUGGUGUAGCGGUGAAAUGCGCAGAUAUCAGGAGGAACACCUAUGGCGAAGGCAGCUCGCUGGGACGGUAUUGACGCUGAGACGCGAAAGCGUGGGGAGCGAACAGG
RNAcentral lists this ribosomal RNA (253 nucleotides) under uncultured bacterium. Its description in RNAcentral is "partial 16S ribosomal RNA". It matches the Rfam family "Bacterial small subunit ribosomal RNA", at positions 524 to 776 of the family's 1533-position model. The record is from RNAcentral.